AUACGAAGGGGGCUAGCGUUGUUCGGAAUCACUGGGCGUAAAGCGUAUGUAGGCGGAUCAAAAAGUUAGAUGUGAAAUCCCUGGGCUCAACCCAGGAACUGCAUUUAAAACUAGUGAUCUAGAAAUUGGUAAAGGUUAGUAGAAUUUCCAGUGUAGAGGUGAAAUUCGUAGAUAUUGGAAAGAAUACCAGAAGCGAAGGCGACUAACUAGGCCAACUUUGACGCUGAGAUACGAAAGCGUGGGUAGCAAACAGGAUUAGAAACCCCGGUAGUCC
Molecule: ribosomal RNA, 274 nt
Filed under: uncultured bacterium
Lineage: Bacteria
Description: partial 16S ribosomal RNA
Rfam family: Bacterial small subunit ribosomal RNA
Source: RNAcentral